This is a non-coding RNA of Sinocyclocheilus grahami, 378 nucleotides long. The record is from the annotation of a RefSeq genome assembly. Lineage: Eukaryota; Metazoa; Chordata; Actinopteri; Cypriniformes; Cyprinidae.
AUGCUGCUCUGUGCACUUGUAAUAUUUUCAGUACUUGCAGGAGACUCUCUUGGUGAUCUAAUAACAUCUCAUGGUUCUGAAAAACAAGCUCAAGAUGGUAACAGUGUUACUCUCUCCUGCAACUACACUGGUGCUGUUUAUAAUCUACUGUGGUAUCGUCAGUAUCAAAGAUCCAAACCAGAACUCCUUCUCUCCAUGACUGAAUCUGGAGAUCCAGUUAAAGAAGAUCCAUCAGCCCACUGGUUAUCUGCUAAAGUUGACAAACACACAAAGCUCAUGGAACUGGAAAUCAGCCCUGCUAAAGUAUCAGACUCUGCACAUUAUUACUGUGCCCUGCGGCCCACAGUGACAGGAAACCCUUUUCCUCUCCAUCAGUAA